GUCCAAGUAAUUUAAUCAAAAUACUGGUCUUGUAAACCAGCAAUGAAGGAAACAUCCUUCCUAGGACA
This 68-nucleotide transfer RNA is filed under the name Thylacinus cynocephalus (Tasmanian wolf). Its description in RNAcentral is "tRNA-Thr". It matches the Rfam family "tRNA". Rfam says of the family: Transfer RNA (tRNA) molecules are approximately 80 nucleotides in length. Their secondary structure includes four short double-helical elements and three loops (D, anti-codon, and T loops). The record is from RNAcentral. Lineage: Eukaryota; Metazoa; Chordata; Mammalia; Dasyuromorphia; Thylacinidae.